GGGCCUAUAGCUCAGUUGGUUAGAGCAGGGGACUCAUAAUCCCUUUGUCCAAGGUUCAAGUCCUUGUAGGCCCACCA
This 77-nucleotide transfer RNA is filed under the name Methylophaga sp. 41_12_T18. RNAcentral describes it as "tRNA-Met". It matches the Rfam family "tRNA". Rfam says of the family: Transfer RNA (tRNA) molecules are approximately 80 nucleotides in length. Their secondary structure includes four short double-helical elements and three loops (D, anti-codon, and T loops). Lineage: Bacteria; Pseudomonadati; Pseudomonadota; Gammaproteobacteria; Thiotrichales; Piscirickettsiaceae. The record is from RNAcentral. RNAcentral also lists the same sequence under 6 other names.